UAAUUUUGGAACACAACGUGAUCACAUUUUCACAUGUGUAGUUUAAUGUAAUCACAUGUUGCUUUACAUGUUAUCACAUUAUCCUCACAUAAGAUUACAUUAAAACAUGUUUUUGGAACACUUCCCGUGUUCACAUGUGAAAUUCAUGUGGUUUUUGCCUAAACGCCCUGCAGUUCCACACUCAAGGAUCUUAAUAAUGCUUUAAAAUACACAUGUAUGAUUGUGCAUGUGUAAUGGGUUGAAAACAAAGUCACUAAAAACAGACACACAUUUAUUAUUUAUCCCCCCAUUUGUUUAAGUAUUUGUCUUAAUGAAUCUAAAAUGUAUUUUCUACAUACUUUAGCGUUAGCAGUCCAUCAGGCCAAUAGAUGGCGCUUUUGCACUGUUGUAGCAGGAGAAACAGCAAGUUCUGGCCAAGAGCUCACCAUUCUGCAGAAUAAGGACCAGAACUUUACAGAGGUAAACUGUCUCUGUUCUUUUACUAUUACAGUUCAUCGUGGCCCUGUAGUUCACCUCCUUCACCAAAGCUCUGUCAGGGACCUACAUGAAGAGUGCCAUCACUCAGAGAGACACUUUGACCUGUCCAGCUCUCUCAUCGGACUCAUAGACGGCAGCUUUGAGAUGGGUUUCAACAAUAACAUUGAGUUGCUUGAGAAUUCAUGUAGUAAAAACCAGAUACAGACUACAGUAUGAUCCAUUUUUUUUGUGGUUCAAUCAGAGUCUGCUCUCAAUACUGUCCAGUUUUAUAGUUGUUCCUAUUAAUUGAUUGACUGGAGUUUGUCCAUGACUCUACUGUCAAACCCCUAACAUUGUUGUAUUUGAUGCUAUGUUGUUGCAGCCUAGUAUCCAAACUGAUAUGUCAUUUUUAGUUUAAAAAAAAAACAGUGUUUAUAAUUUGCUAUUCCUGACUACUGCAGUGUUGUGGU
This is an RNA transcript of Oncorhynchus tshawytscha (Chinook salmon), 926 nucleotides long. It is a transcript of the gene named solute carrier organic anion transporter family member 4C1-like, with no coding region annotated. Lineage: Eukaryota; Metazoa; Chordata; Actinopteri; Salmoniformes; Salmonidae. The transcript is spliced from 2 exons. The record is from RefSeq and is a predicted model, not a curated record.